GAGGGCAUAACUCAGUGGUAGAGUAUGUGCUUAGCAUGCAUGAGGUCCUGGGUUUAACCCCCAGUGCCUCCA
This 72-nucleotide transfer RNA is filed under the name Camelus ferus (Wild Bactrian camel). It matches the Rfam family "tRNA". Rfam says of the family: Transfer RNA (tRNA) molecules are approximately 80 nucleotides in length. Lineage: Eukaryota; Metazoa; Chordata; Mammalia; Artiodactyla; Camelidae. The record is from Rfam by way of RNAcentral.